RNAcentral lists this ribosomal RNA (666 nucleotides) under Microbacterium sp. UST020129-018. RNAcentral's name for it is "bacterial SSU rRNA". It matches the Rfam family "Bacterial small subunit ribosomal RNA", at positions 358 to 1042 of the family's 1533-position model. The record is from RNAcentral. Lineage: Bacteria; Bacillati; Actinomycetota; Actinomycetes; Micrococcales; Microbacteriaceae.
GGGAUAUUGACAAUGGGCGGAACCUGUGCAGCAACGCCGCGUGAGGGAUGACGGCCUUCGGGUUGUAAACCUCUUUUAGCAGGGAAGAAGCGAGAGUGACGGUACCUGCAGAAAAAGCACCGGCUAACUACGUGCCAGCAGCCGCGGUAAUACGUAGGGUGCAAGCGUUAUCCGGAAUUAUUGGGCGUAAAGAGCUCGUAGGCGGUCUGUCGCGUCUGCUGUGAAAUUCCGAGGCUCAACCUCGGGCUUGCAGUGGGUACGGGCAGACUAGAGUGCGGUAGGGGAGAUUGGAAUUCCUGGUGUAGCGGUGGAAUGCGCAGAUAUCAGGAGGAACACCGAUGGCGAAGGCAGAUCUCUGGGCCGUAACUGACGCUGAGGAGCGAAAGGGUGGGGAGCAAACAGGCUUAGAUACCCUGGUAGUCCACCCCGUAAACGUUGGGAACUAGUUGUGGGGUCCUUUCCACGGAUUCCGUGACGCAGCUAACGCAUUAAGUUCCCCGCCUGGGGAGUACGGCCGCAAGGCUAAAACUCAAAGGAAUUGACGGGGACCCGCACAAGCGGCGGAGCAUGCGGAUUAAUUCGAUGCAACGCGAAGAACCUUACCAAGGCUUGACAUACACGAGAACGGGCCAGAAAGGUCAAUCUUUGGACAUCGUAACAGGGGGC